CCUACGGGAGGCAGCAGUGAGGAAUAUUGGUCAAUGGACGAGAGUCUGAACCAGCCAAGUAGCGUGAAGGAUGACUGCCCUAUGGGUUGUAAACUUCUUUUAUAAAGGAAUAAAACGAGGCACGUGUGCCUUUUCUCAUAUACUUUAUGAAUAAGGACCGGCUAACUGCGUGCCACCAGUCGCGGUAAUACGGAGGAUCCGACCGUUAUCCGGAUUUAUUGGGUUUAAAGGGAGCGUAGAUGGGUUGUUAAGUCAGUUGUGAAAGUUUGCGGGUCAACCGUAAAAUUGCAAUUGAUACUGGCAGUCUUGAGUACAGUUGAGGUAGGCGGAAUGCGUGGUGUAGCGGUGAAAUGCUUAGAUAUCACGAAGAACCCCGAUUGCGAAGGCAGCUUACUAAACUGUGACUGACAUUGAUGCUCGAAAGUGUGGGUAUCGAACAGGAUUAGAUACCCCUGUAGUC
RNAcentral lists this ribosomal RNA (460 nucleotides) under uncultured bacterium. RNAcentral describes it as "partial 16S ribosomal RNA". It matches the Rfam family "Bacterial small subunit ribosomal RNA", at positions 338 to 795 of the family's 1533-position model. The record is from RNAcentral.